UACGUAGGUGGCAAGCGUUGUUCGGAAUUAUUGGGCGUAAAGGGCGCGUAGGCGGUCUCGUAAGUCAGCUGUGAAAGCCCGGGGCUCAACCCCGGAGGGUCGGCUGAUACUGCAGGACUGGAGUACGGAAGAGGUAGCUGGAAUUCCCGGUGUAGCGGUGAAAUGCGUAGAGAUCAGGAAGAACACCGGUGGCGAAAGCGCUCUGCUAGGCCGCAACUGACACUCAUGGACGAAAGCUAGGGGAGCGAAUGGG
Molecule: ribosomal RNA, 253 nt
Filed under: uncultured bacterium
Lineage: Bacteria
Description: partial 16S ribosomal RNA
Rfam family: Bacterial small subunit ribosomal RNA
Source: RNAcentral